CCCUCCAGCGCUGCGCUCAGAUGAGUCACUCUCAAAGGGUCCACGCAGGCCAGUGAGCCACAAAAGUGGCGGAUGCUGGAGAAACAGAGACAAGAGCAACUGGUGGUGUCCUGGGUACAGUUGCAGGGAAGGAGGAGCCACGGAUAUUCCAGAAGGAUUAUAGAGAGAAGAGCUACUUGCCCUCUGGCUUUGGAGACGGGACACAGACUGUGGGGGAAGAACAGAGUUCAUGGAAAGCUGAGGCUGGUGCUUGCAGCCCAGACACUUGAAAACUCAAAGGACACGAGGGCUUGGUUCCAGCUCGUCUUAGACAUCCUGUCUUUGAGAAAGCUGGCUUCUAACAUGAAACAUAAAGCCCAAACUCACACGAAUCAGCCUCCCUCCCCCAGCUAUGCAUUGCUUCUGGUCUGCUCAAAACCUGGGAAUAAAUUCGUUGUAACAUGGAUCCUCAAAGGACUCACAUAGAUCAGGCUGAGCCCAGGAACACCUCAUCUUCCUGCCUCCAUCUCCCACGUGCUGAGAUUACAGAUACCAUGCUACUUGUGAGCUGCUGAAGACAAGUGUUGCUGAGUAUUGAGAGGUGUAAAAACACCUAGAAAAGUGGCCAAUGAGAAGCGCUGGAAAGCACGACUGUCAUCAUCACCGUCCUCACUAAUACGAACCCCUAGUUCUCAGAUGGGGGGCCUGGCACUCCGCUGCGUGGAAGCCUGAUCCCAAAGCGUGCAGCUGGCCUGCCUGGAAUUCAGCCUCGACUUCACCUGCCCCGUUCCAAGGACACCCCCAAGCAAUCCUGUAGCUCAAGCACAGAUGUGAUGCUGUCCCCUGACCCAUUCGAAAUAUGUCUGGAAGACAUUUCUAUAGAUGUAGUGUCAAGGGAGGUUGGACAUUAAGAACCUCAUUUACGAUGCUGGAGAAGUAACUCAGUGUUGGUUGCUCUGGAAAGAACCCAGACUUGAUUCUCAGCACCCACAUGGCAGUUAACCACCAUCCAUAACCCCAGUUCUCGGGGACC
Nannospalax galili (Upper Galilee mountains blind mole rat) is the source of this 1012-nucleotide long non-coding RNA. RefSeq lists it as uncharacterized. Lineage: Eukaryota; Metazoa; Chordata; Mammalia; Rodentia; Spalacidae. The transcript has 4 exons. The record is from RefSeq and is a predicted model, not a curated record.